UACGUAGGGGGCUAGCGUUGUCCGGAUUUAUUGGGCGUAAAGAGCGUGUAGGCGGCCAGAUAGGUCUGCUGUGAAAACUCGAGGCUCAACCUCGAGAUGUCGGCGGAAACCAUUUGGCUAGAGUCCGGAAGAGGAAAGUGGAAUUCCUGGUGUAGCGGUGAAAUGCGCAGAUAUCAGGAAGAACACCCGUGGCGAAGGCAGCUCGCUGGGACGUGACUGACGCUGAGACGCGAAAGCGUGGGGAGCAAACAGG
RNAcentral lists this ribosomal RNA (253 nucleotides) under uncultured bacterium. RNAcentral describes it as "partial 16S ribosomal RNA". It matches the Rfam family "Bacterial small subunit ribosomal RNA", at positions 524 to 776 of the family's 1533-position model. The record is from RNAcentral.